AACGAAUGAGAUUUUUUUUCGUUUUGGUGUAUUAUAUUUUGAAACUUUAAAUGUAUUUUCUAGUUUUAUUUAAACAGUUAAUUUAUUUAAAUCUUAUUUAAUUUUAAAUUUGAUCAGUAAUAAAAUUAGUUUUAUAUUAAAUUUUUUUAUUUAGUUAGUUUGUGGAUCGGACAUAAUUAAAAAUUUUCAGUCCGCAAAUCAAUCCAUAAAAUGGUGGAUUGGAUAUGAAUUGGGUUAAAUCCGAAUCCGAUUUGCAGAUGUAUGGAUUGGAUUUGGAUUGAAUUUCAUCAAUCCGUGGAUUGGAUUGGAUUGAAAAUUUAUAAUCUGUAAAAUCAUGGAUCGGAUAUGGAUUGAUGUCCAAUCCGUAAAAUCCGAUCUGCAAACACCCUUAGUACUUAUAGAGUUUGUAUUUCCAUACGUACUUAUGAAGUGAUAUAAAAGGACAUUUUAGAGUGCCAACAUUAUUACUUUGGACAUACGAAAUACAAACUUAUAUAAACAUAACAUUACUCAACUGAAAACAAUUCAAAUAGAAGUCAUUAACCAGUCUUGUCAGGGUUUCUUCCAUACUGAGAGGCCAUAAGAAGGUCAAGAUUGUCAUUUGUUAUCUCAUCAGCAAGAAUACCCUCUUGCUUAGCAAAACGAAAACCCUCUUUUAUGACAAACAUUUAUGGCCAUUCGUUCUUACCUGAACAUUAUAUAUUAGAAAAUUUAUUGAUAAACACAUAAUUACAUGGCAAUUAGAAAUGGUAAAUCAACUGAAUUCGACCUAAAAUACCUGCAAAAGCAGUUUCCAUAGUCUUCAAUUCAAUUCUCCCUCUGGUUUAAACAAAAAAAGUAAGUAGUUGAACGAGUUCCUGCUUCCCGUUUGAUGUGGUCUCUGUUCGUGUGUGUGUGUGUGUGUGUGUGUGUGUGUG
This 917-nucleotide long non-coding RNA is filed under the name Citrus maxima (pomelo). RNAcentral's name for it is "long non-coding RNA (CMAX_LNC002942)". The record is from RNAcentral. Lineage: Eukaryota; Viridiplantae; Streptophyta; Magnoliopsida; Sapindales; Rutaceae.